Molecule: ribosomal RNA, 253 nt
Filed under: uncultured bacterium
Lineage: Bacteria
Description: partial 16S ribosomal RNA
Rfam family: Bacterial small subunit ribosomal RNA
Source: RNAcentral
UACGUAGGUGGCGAGCGUUGUCCGGAUUUAUUGGGUUUAAAGGGUGCGUAGGCGGCUUUGUAAGUCAGUGGUGAAAUAUGUCAGCUCAACUGGGAGGGUGCCAUUGAUACUGCGGAGCUUGAGUACAGAUGAGGUAGGCGGAAUUGACGGUGUAGCGGUGAAAUGCUUAGAUAUCGUCAAGAACACCUAUAGCGAAGGCAGCUCACUAGGCUGUAACUGACGCUGAGGCACGAAAGUGUGGGGAUCAAACAGG